This 253-nucleotide ribosomal RNA is filed under the name uncultured Allobaculum sp. RNAcentral describes it as "partial 16S ribosomal RNA". It matches the Rfam family "Bacterial small subunit ribosomal RNA", at positions 524 to 776 of the family's 1533-position model. Lineage: Bacteria; Bacillati; Bacillota; Erysipelotrichia; Erysipelotrichales; Erysipelotrichaceae. The record is from RNAcentral.
UACGUAGGUGGCGAGCGUUAUCCGGAAUGAUUGGGCGUAAAGGGUGCGCAGGCGGUCCUGCAAGUCUGGAGUGAAACGUAUGAGCUCAACUCAUGCAUGGCUCUGGAAACUGGAGGACUGGAGAGCAGGAGAGGGCGGUGGAACUCCAUGUGUAGCGGUAAAAUGCGUAGAUAUAUGGAAGAACACCAGUGGCGAAGGCGGCUUACUGGACUGCAACUGACACUGAGGCUCGAAAGCGUGGGGAUCGAACAGG